RNAcentral lists this ribosomal RNA (678 nucleotides) under uncultured bacterium. Its description in RNAcentral is "partial 16S ribosomal RNA". It matches the Rfam family "Bacterial small subunit ribosomal RNA", at positions 402 to 865 of the family's 1533-position model. The record is from RNAcentral.
UGAGGGACGAAGGUCUUCGCGAUUGUAAACCUCUUUCAGCAGAGGACGAAGCGAAAGUGACGGUACCUGCAGAAGAAGCACCGGCUAACUAUGUGCCAGCAGCCGCGGUAAUAACAUAGGGUGCAAGCGUUGUCCGGAUUUAUUUGGGCGUAAAAGAGUUCGUAAGGCGAGAUAAUCACCUAUUUUCCCCUGGCAACUUGCACCUAACCAAGGCCAGCAACACAUUUAGCUGUUUUGCACAAACAACCGACNUAAAACACCAUUUAAUCCGACACAGGCUGGGUGGACACCCACAUUUAUCCCCCCCAACAAAUAUCUUGCCACACCGACAUUUGGAUAGCAAUAGGGGGGUCCCACCCUAUCUUAGGGACUAUUUUUUUUUUCCCCGGGCAAUUUAAAAACCCCGGGUGGGAUGGCGGCCAAAAAACAAACCCAUUUCGAAGGAACGGCAGUGGGAGAUCCGGAACUCCUAGGUAUAAGACGGCGGAAUCGCGCAGAUAUCAAGGAAGAACACCAAUAGGCGAAAGGAAGGUCUCUUGGGCCGAUUCUAGACGCUAGAGGAACGAAAGCGUGGGGAGCAAACAGGAUUAGAUACCCAUGGUAGUCCACGCUGUAAACGAUGGACGCUAAGUGUGGGGAACAUUCCACGUUCUCUGCGCCGCAGCUAACGCAUUAAGC